UACGGAGGGUGCGAGCGUUGUCCGGAUUUAUUGGGUUUAAAGGGUGCGUAGGCGGUUUAUUAAGUCAGUGGUGAAAGACGGUCGCUCAACGAUUGCAGUGCCAUUGAUACUGGUAGACUUGAGUUCGUAUGAGGUAGCUGGAAUGGAUAGUGUAGCGGUGAAAUGCAUAGAUAUUAUCCAGAACUCCAAUUGCGUAGGCAGGUUACUAAUACGAUACUGACGCUGAUGCACGAAAGUGUGGGGAUCAGACAGG
Molecule: ribosomal RNA, 253 nt
Filed under: uncultured bacterium
Lineage: Bacteria
Description: partial 16S ribosomal RNA
Rfam family: Bacterial small subunit ribosomal RNA
Source: RNAcentral